UAAGUAGGGCGGAACACGUGAAAUUCUGUCUGAAGAUCGGGGGACCACCCCCGAAGGCUAAGUACUCCUUACUGACCGAUAGCGAACCAGUACCGUGAGGGAAAGGUGAAAAGCACCCCGACGAGGGGAGUGAAACAGUACCUGAAACCGAACGCCUACAAUCAGUUGGAGGGCCCAUGCGGCCUGACAGCGUACCUUUUGUAUAAUGGGUCAGCGACUUAUAUUUAGUAGCAAGGUUAAGCGAAUAGCGGAGCCGUAGCGAAAGCGAGUGUUAACUGCGCGUUUAGUUGCUAGGUAUAGACCCGAAACCCGGUGAUCUAGCCAUGGGCAGGUUGAAGGUUGAGUAACAUCAACUGGAGGACCGAACCGACUAACUUUGAAAAGUUAGCGGAUGACUUGUGGCUGGGGGUGAAAGGCCAAUCAAACCGGGAGAUAGCUGGUUCUCCCCGAAAUCUAUUUAGGUAGAGCCUCGGACGAACACCAUUGGGGGUAGAGCACUGUUAAGGCUAGGGGGUCAUCCCGACUUACCAACCCUUUGCAAACUCCGAAUACCGAUGAGUGCUAUCCGGGAGACACACGGCGGGUGCUAACGUCCGUCGUGAAGAGGGAAACAAC
RNAcentral lists this ribosomal RNA (615 nucleotides) under Heterosigma akashiwo. Its description in RNAcentral is "partial Bacterial large subunit ribosomal RNA". It matches the Rfam family "Bacterial large subunit ribosomal RNA", at positions 409 to 1026 of the family's 2925-position model. The record is from RNAcentral. Lineage: Eukaryota; Raphidophyceae; Chattonellales; Chattonellaceae.